This 603-nucleotide ribosomal RNA is filed under the name Devosia sp. CL42 4.2. RNAcentral's name for it is "bacterial SSU rRNA". It matches the Rfam family "Bacterial small subunit ribosomal RNA", at positions 104 to 742 of the family's 1533-position model. The record is from RNAcentral. Lineage: Bacteria; Pseudomonadati; Pseudomonadota; Alphaproteobacteria; Hyphomicrobiales; Devosiaceae.
GGGUGAGUAACGCGUGGGAAUCUACCUAGUUCUACGGAACAACAGAGGGAAACUUCUGCUAAUACCGUAUACGCCCUAUGGGGGAAAGAUUUAUCGGAAUUAGAUGAGCCCGCGUAAGAUUAGCUAGUUGGUGGGGUAAUGGCCUACCAAGGCGACGAUCUUUAGCUGGUCUGAGAGGAUGAUCAGCCACACUGGGACUGAGACACGGCCCAGACUCCUACGGGAGGCAGCAGUGGGGAAUAUUGGACAAUGGGCGCAAGCCUGAUCCAGCCAUGCCGCGUGAGUGAUGAAGGCCUUAGGGUUGUAAAGCUCUUUCAGUAGGGAAGAUAAUGACGGUACCUACAGAAGAAGCCCCGGCUAACUUCGUGCCAGCAGCCGCGGUAAUACGAAGGGGGCUAGCGUUGUUCGGAUUUACUGGGCGUAAAGCGCACGUAGGCGGGUUGUUAAGUCAGGGGUGAAAUCCUGGAGCUCAACUCCAGAACUGCCUUUGAUACUGGCAAUCUAGAGUCCGGAAGAGGUGAGUGGAACUCCUAGUGUAGAGGUGGAAUUCGUAGAUAUUAGGAAGAACACCAGUGGCGAAGGCGGCUCACUGGUCCGGUACUG